This 29-nucleotide non-coding RNA is filed under the name Mus musculus (house mouse). Lineage: Eukaryota; Metazoa; Chordata; Mammalia; Rodentia; Muridae. RNAcentral also lists the same sequence under 1 other name. The record is from RNAcentral.
UCAAUGCCUGUCCGCCAAGCAGCGGGACU